RNAcentral lists this transfer RNA (77 nucleotides) under Thermoproteota archaeon. RNAcentral's name for it is "tRNA-Gly". It matches the Rfam family "tRNA". From Rfam's summary of the family: Transfer RNA (tRNA) molecules are approximately 80 nucleotides in length. Their secondary structure includes four short double-helical elements and three loops (D, anti-codon, and T loops). The record is from RNAcentral. Lineage: Archaea; Thermoproteati; Thermoproteota.
GCGGCCGUAGUCUAGCCUGGAUAGGAUGCCGGCCCCCCAAGCCGGCGACCCGGGUUCAAAUCCCGGCGGCCGCACCA